CCCCAUUUUCUCCCUCAGUCUUCAGAUCCCAUACUUUAAUGUGUUUUUGUCUCUCAGAACCAGCCAUUCCGAAUUUCCCAAGCAGAAGGCUACAGAUUUGUCCAACCUGGAAAGGAUAUCUGUCUCGACUGAAAGACCCCCGGAGAGUGAGCCAUGCUGACCUAUAUACCUGAGGCAGCUUCUGUCCCCAGCUGAGGAGCCCCCAGGAUCUUUUGAAUGUGCAGUGCGGCAGGUGAAGGAGGACAGCCGGAGCCCUAGAGGAAGGAGAAUGUGGGUUAAGAUGAUGGGAUGACUGGACACAUGGAAACCAGGUCAUUCCACGUCCUUGGCUCAUAAUCCAUAGUAAUAAAGUUAAGUCUCUGACUUUUUGCUUCCACACCUCUCAAGAAUUACUGGUUGGGUUUUCCCAAAAUCUGGAGUGUGACUUUAGUAUGGAUUGACUUAAAACAUGCCCUACGUCUAUGGGCUGAUGGUACUAUAAUACCCACUUAGGGGAUUCUGGAUGGCACCCCAUAAAUAGAAAGAUUUUUCCCCAGAAAAGUCCAUUGGUUG
RNAcentral lists this long non-coding RNA (552 nucleotides) under Zalophus californianus (California sea lion). RNAcentral's name for it is "lncRNA (ENSZCAG00015021751.1)". Lineage: Eukaryota; Metazoa; Chordata; Mammalia; Carnivora; Otariidae. The record is from RNAcentral.